UCCCUGACACCCCUGUGCUCUCCUUCACCAGGUUCUCCUUCUCAUCCCUGACACCCCUGUGCUCUCCUUCACCAGGUUCUCCUUCACCAGGUUCUCCUUCUCUCCCUGACACCCCUGUGCUCUCCUUCACCAGGUUCUCCUUCACCAGGGUUCUCCUUCACCAGGUUCUCCUUCACCAGGUUCUCCUUCUCAUCCCUGACACCCCUGUGCUCUCCUUCACCAGGUUCUCCUUCACCAGGUUCUCCUUCUCAUCCCUGACACCCCUGUGCUCUCCUUCACCAGGCUCUCCUUCACCAGGUUCUCCUUCCCAUCCUUCUCUGUUUCAGAAGUGUGUAAAGCCCUGAAAUAAAUUGAUAGAACAGAAUCCCCUGUCCCUGAUGAACUAGACCCCUGCUUCCUACACCUGCUGCUGACAUCAUUGCUCCACCCUAUAUUUCUAACCUCACGCUUGAUGUUCAGGAAAUCCCCAAGUUAUGGAAAUCUGCUUUUGUACUGCCUCUCCUGAAAGGUGGAGAUCCUUCGCUACUUGACAACUAUCGUCCCAAAUCAAAACCGUCUGUUCUGUCAAAGGUCCUGGAGUCCUUAGUUAGUAGGUCCUGGAGUCCUUAGUUAGUAGGUCCUGGAGUCCUUAGUUAGUAGGUCCUGGAGUCCUUAGUUAGUAGGUCC
This is a long non-coding RNA of Oncorhynchus tshawytscha (Chinook salmon), 666 nucleotides long. The record is from Ensembl. NCBI's taxonomy places the organism in Eukaryota, Metazoa, Chordata, Actinopteri, Salmoniformes, Salmonidae.